CCAAUGGCUUUUUUGCUUUUAGGAUGAAAGCCACGUUUAUUUAAAAAGAAAUGUAAU
Sus scrofa (pig) is the source of this 57-nucleotide non-coding RNA. The record is from Rfam. NCBI's taxonomy places the organism in Eukaryota, Metazoa, Chordata, Mammalia, Artiodactyla, Suidae.